Podarcis lilfordi (Lilford's wall lizard) is the source of this 77-nucleotide non-coding RNA. The record is from the annotation of a GenBank genome assembly. Lineage: Eukaryota; Metazoa; Chordata; Lepidosauria; Squamata; Lacertidae.
GGAGAAGGAAUGUCCCUCAGUGGUAGAGGACAUGCUCUGCGUACAAAAGGUCCCAAGUUCAAUUCCUGGCAUCUCCA